Long non-coding RNA from Perca flavescens (yellow perch), 295 nucleotides. RefSeq lists it as uncharacterized. The transcript has 4 exons. Lineage: Eukaryota; Metazoa; Chordata; Actinopteri; Perciformes; Percidae. The record is from RefSeq and is a predicted model, not a curated record.
AAGAAAGAGGAUUCGGUUCUACAGCAAUGGCUGCAUUUGUUUGCAUCAUUAGGUGAUCGUGCAAAGAGCUGGGAUAACGUGGCUGUGUUAGUUGACGAAACUAUUAAACCACAAGCUCCGUGUAGCCCAUUCCUACAGACCCCAACACGCCAGAACAUUAAACCAAAGGCCACUCUAAUAAGGAAUAAGAACACAGCAAACAGACAAUCAGCCCCUGAACAAAGGAUCCGCAAGGGCGAGGGCUACUCGCUCUCCCAUGUGGCUGAAAUCAAUCCUGUUGAAAGACCAUGUGCUU